This 753-nucleotide ribosomal RNA is filed under the name actinobacterium X19. RNAcentral describes it as "bacterial SSU rRNA". It matches the Rfam family "Bacterial small subunit ribosomal RNA", at positions 75 to 840 of the family's 1533-position model. Lineage: Bacteria; Bacillati; Actinomycetota; Actinomycetes. The record is from RNAcentral.
CCCACUUCGGGGGUACUCGAGUGGCGAACGGGUGAGUAACACGUGGGUGAUCUGCCCUGAACUCUGGGAUAAGCCUGGGAAACUGGGUCUAAUACCGGAUAGGACCUCGCAUCGCAUGGUGUGGGGUGGAAAGCUUUUGCGGUUUGGGAUGGGCCCGCGGCCUAUCAGCUUGUUGGUGGGGUAAUGGCCUACCAAGGCGACGACGGGUAGCCGACCUGAGAGGGUGAUCGGCCACACUGGGACUGAGACACGGCCCAGACUCCUACGGGAGGCAGCAGUGGGGAAUAUUGCACAAUGGGCGCAAGCCUGAUGCAGCGACGCCGCGUGAGGGAUGACGGCCUUCGGGUUGUAAACCUCUUUCGCCAGGGACGAAGCGCAAGUGACGGUACCUGGAGAAGAAGCACCGGCCAACUACGUGCCAGCAGCCGCGGUAAUACGUAGGGUGCGAGCGUUGUCCGGAAUUACUGGGCGUAAAGAGCUCGUAGGCGGUUUGUCGCGUCGUCUGUGAAAUUCUGCAACUCAAUUGCAGGCGUGCAGGCGAUACGGGCAGACUUGAGUACUACAGGGGAGACUGGAAUUCCUGGUGUAGCGGUGAAAUGCGCAGAUAUCAGGAGGAACACCGGUGGCGAAGGCGGGUCUCUGGGUAGUAACUGACGCUGAGGAGCGAAAGCGUGGGGAGCGAACAGGAUUAGAUACCCUGGUAGUCCACGCCGUAAACGGUGGGUACUAGGUGUGGGGCUCAUUUCACGAGUU